CAACGCAGACAAAUGGGAGAAUUAGACAACAUCAAAACAUUCCUUCCCAACAGUCUUGACAUGGUUCCACAUACAUACAACAGUAUAGUUUUAAAAGAGUUCAUGAAGGCAAAUGACAGUUCGAUAUGUUGACCUUAUCUUUGCAUGCUUUUUUUUUUCUGUCUUCCAUUUAGUUUGUGGUAAGACGGUGGAUGUGAGCUCGCUGCCGGACCAAAGAGUGUGACAGACUGCGAGCGAGGGCGGAAAACACGUGCCACGGAAGGGGAGGCAAAAGAGCAUUAUCAGCACUUUCUCCGAGAGGAAAGCAGAUGGAGAAUGCUGGAGCUUUUCGUAUGACUCCAAGCAACAUGCAAGAACGUCACUUCUCCCACACCGUAGGUGUCGGUAAUGCGCCUUCAAGCUGGUGCCACCCCACCUCGCCGGAAAAACAAAACGAAGAAGAAGAAUGACGUAACUGCUCCUUCACCGACGAGUCAGCGCAGGUCUCUUACCGGUUCAUCUUUAUCAUAUUUACCAGGGAGGUGCGGUCAGAUGAGGCAAGGGAUCCGUUUGCUGUUCCAUUCUUCCUUCACCAUACUGAUGGAAUCAAAUCGAGAUUUGAAUUCUAUGCUCCUCACGUCUGCAAGUGCGCUAUAGUAUGGUCGUCGUUAGGUUUCAUUAUCAUCUUUAAGGUCUGCAGGCGCAAAGCAUGAAAUGUCGCUAGUGACGCUGUAGGGCGACGUUAUAAAUGUAUAUCUUUUAUGCAAUUUUGACCUUUUUGUUAACAUGCACGUUAUACUGGAGCUCAUUAUUGCUGAAUACUACCAAUAGUUUGAGAUUGAAAGUGACAACCAAAUUGGCUUUGGUUGUUGACCUUGAUGUUUUCAUUUUGCAUUUGUUGGAUUGUAGUUGAUGGUGUUAUUAUAUUCAAUAUGUUUGUGUUGGAAUAAA
This is a long non-coding RNA of Syngnathus typhle (broad-nosed pipefish), 930 nucleotides long. RefSeq lists it as uncharacterized. The transcript is spliced from 3 exons. The record is from RefSeq and is a predicted model, not a curated record. NCBI's taxonomy places the organism in Eukaryota, Metazoa, Chordata, Actinopteri, Syngnathiformes, Syngnathidae.